RNAcentral lists this long non-coding RNA (695 nucleotides) under Oncorhynchus mykiss (rainbow trout). Its description in RNAcentral is "lncRNA (ENSOMYG00000062840.1)". Lineage: Eukaryota; Metazoa; Chordata; Actinopteri; Salmoniformes; Salmonidae. The record is from RNAcentral.
AGUGAAAGGAAAUAAGUGAGGACUUUGGAAAGGACAUGGUUUUGACCUGUCCUAUUGCUCCUAUUCCUCAGGGUGACGCUGGUCUUCCAGGGAAAGCAGCUGACAUGAAGAACAUUGAAGUAAUGUUUGAAGACUAUGGCAUAAGGCUGCCCUUGCUGAAGGCACUGAUUGACAGGCUGCUGCAGGACGGCAUGGAGGAGCUUCUGCAGGAGCUAACCACCUCUAGGAGAGUCAAUGAGAAGGAGAAACACGGCUCCAACAUUAUCACUGACUACACAAGAACUGUAAAGUAUGAGAUCUCCAAGGAGCCUCUGACAGAGAUGGACACCAUAGAGGAGGCAGUUGACUCUGACCUAGACAGACAGCUACCAGAACCUAACUCUGAUGCUUUGAAUGAAACGGCGGAGGGCCCCACAUUCUGGAGUCUCACCCCUCUUAAUGGUCUUAAUGGGGUCCAAGACGUGGGGAGGAUAGAGAGCACCUCUAAGGGGAUAGAGGGGACACUGACAGUGGACGAGGACUUCAGUGAAGCUCCCUCCCCCAAGUUGGCUUUAUCAAACUCAACAUUUAACAACACAACGUCUGAAGAGGUAAGGGGUACCUCUUCUACUCGAACCCCACAGCCAAACACUGGCUCUACUCAAAACCACAACCAAACAGUGGCUGUCAAAUUAACUUUUAAAAGUGAACUAUGA